UACGGGGGGGGCAAGCGUUGUUCGGAAUUACUGGGCGUAAAGGGCUCGUAGGUGGCCUACUAAGUCAGACGUGAAAUCCCCAGGCUUAACCUGGGAACUGCGUCUGAUACUGGAUGGCUUGAAUUCGGGAGAGGGAUGCAGAAUUCCAGGUGUAGCGGUGAAAUGCGUAGAUAUCUGGAGGAAUACCGGUGGCGAAGGCGGCAUCCUGGACCGAGAUUGACGCUGAUGAGCGAAAGCCAGGGGAGCAAACGGG
This 253-nucleotide ribosomal RNA is filed under the name uncultured bacterium. RNAcentral's name for it is "partial 16S ribosomal RNA". It matches the Rfam family "Bacterial small subunit ribosomal RNA", at positions 524 to 776 of the family's 1533-position model. The record is from RNAcentral.